AGUGAACGCUGGCGGUAGGCCUAACACAUGCAAGUCGAACGGCAGCACAGUAAGAGCUUGCUCUUACGGGUGGCGAGUGGCGGACGGGUGAGGAAUACAUCGGAAUCUACUUUUUCGUGGGGGAUAACGUAGGGAAACUUACGCUAAUACCGCAUACGACCUACGGGUGAAAGCAGGGGAUCUUCGGACCUUGCGCGAUUGAAUGAGCCGAUGUCGGAUUAGCUAGUUGGCGGGGUAAAGGCCCACCAAGGCGACGAUCCGUAGCUGGUCUGAGAGGAUGAUCGGCCACACUGAAACUGAGAAACGGUCAAGACUCCUACGGGAGGCAGCAGUGGGAAAUAUUGGACAAUGGGCGCAAGCCUGAGCCAGCCAUACCGCGUGGGUGAAGAAGGCCUUCGGGUUGUAAAGCCCUUUUGUUGGGAAAGAAAAGCAGCAGGUUAAUACCCCGCUGUUCUGACGGUACCCAAAGAAUAAGCACCGGCUAACUUCGU
RNAcentral lists this ribosomal RNA (491 nucleotides) under uncultured bacterium. RNAcentral describes it as "partial 16S ribosomal RNA". It matches the Rfam family "Bacterial small subunit ribosomal RNA", at positions 29 to 506 of the family's 1533-position model. The record is from RNAcentral.